GCUUAAUGGAGUUUGAACUCAUUCACCAUCUCCAACAUGACUUACAUCUCGAUCGGGGCUAUGAAACAAACAAUCUGGAUAAACAACAAGUCUUUGUUCUAAUCAGUAUGGCAAAGAUUCCAUAGCAAGGCAGAUGGAGAAUACCAACAGCAAAGUACCAAAGGGGAGCAUAUUGAGAUGACAAGUCUAGAAAGGGAUACGGCCACCUCAACGAGACAAACAUGUGGAGGAUCCACUGGAAAAUGACAAAUACGCAUGUCCAAAGUACAAAAUAUGCUAACCGGAAGAAAGGGAAUAGACGAUUUAGAAACACAUCACCUAGAAGGCAAAUAGCAUUGACAGAAUGCAUACAAACAGCCAGGAAGUGCAAUUUGUAGUUUUUGUCAGUAAGGAACGGAUAUAUAACGAGCCAAAAAACACAAUCUGUAAGCACAAUGGCACCUGCAGUCAUCUGAAAGAUUAUUUGCAAGGCAAGUCCCCAAUGAUCAUGUGGCUCUCCAUGGGAAUUCAAGCCAUUGGAUUCAAUAAGUACGCUUAAAUUUUCAGGAACUGGAGCAAUGUAAGUGCCUCUCUCUGUAUCAACACCACCAGUGCUAGCACCACUACCUCCGUUGCAAGGUUGGAGACAGCCACGGAUGGACAAUGAAGAUCCUAGCAAAAAGUAGACCGUAACCAAGGUGAAUGUCCACUGAGUAUAGAAAUAAAGUAUGCGUACGCCGUGGAGAACUACA
Molecule: unclassified non-coding RNA, 731 nt
Filed under: Hevea brasiliensis (rubber tree)
Lineage: Eukaryota; Viridiplantae; Streptophyta; Magnoliopsida; Malpighiales; Euphorbiaceae
Source: RNAcentral